RNAcentral lists this ribosomal RNA (800 nucleotides) under Kocuria sp. JSM 101073. RNAcentral's name for it is "bacterial SSU rRNA". It matches the Rfam family "Bacterial small subunit ribosomal RNA", at positions 34 to 843 of the family's 1533-position model. Lineage: Bacteria; Bacillati; Actinomycetota; Actinomycetes; Micrococcales; Micrococcaceae. The record is from RNAcentral.
AGGGGGGGGGGUGCUUUAACAUGCAGUCGAACGCUGAAGCACCAGCUUGCUGGUGUGGAUGAGUGGCGAACGGGUGAGUAAUACGUGAGUAACCUGCCCUUGACUCUGGGAUAAGCCCGGGAAACUGGGUCUAAUACUGGAUGCUACAUGUCACCGCAUGGUGGUGUGUGGAAAGGGUUUACUGGUCUUGGAUGGGCUCACGGCCUAUCAGCUUGUUGGUGAGGUAAUGGCUCACCAAGGCGACGACGGGUAGCCGGCCUGAGAGGGUGACCGGCCACACUGGGACUGAGACACGGCCCAGACUCCUACGGGAGGCAGCAGUGGGGAAUAUUGCACAAUGGGCGAAAGCCUGAUGCAGCGACGCCGCGUGAGGGAUGACGGCCUUCGGGUUGUAAACCUCUUUCAGCAGGGAAGAAGCCACAAGUGACGGUACCUGCAGAAGAAGCGCCGGCUAACUACGUGCCAGCAGCCGCGGUAAUACGUAGGGCGCAAGCGUUGUCCGGAAUUAUUGGGCGUAAAGAGCUCGUAGGCGGUUUGUCGCGUCUGCUGUGAAAGCCCGGGGCUUAACCCCGGGUGUGCAGUGGGUACGGGCAGACUAGAGUGCAGUAGGGGAGACUGGAAUUCCUGGUGUAGCGGUGGAAUGCGCAGAUAUCAGGAGGAACACCGAUGGCGAAGGCAGGUCUCUGGGCUGUUACUGACGCUGAGGAGCGAAAGCAUGGGGAGCGAACAGGAUUAGAUACCCUGGUAGUCCAUGCCGUAAACGUUGGGCACUAGGUGUGGGGGACAUUCCACGUUUUCCG